UGAGGUGCUGGAGCUGCUCAGUAGGGCCAAGAGAGUCGCACAGCGCAAGCGAGAGAGGGAGCAGGCCAAAGAUCCCGAGCCCCUUCAG
Molecule: non-coding RNA, 88 nt
Filed under: Guillardia theta
Lineage: Eukaryota; Cryptophyceae; Pyrenomonadales; Geminigeraceae
Source: RNAcentral